GGUUAAGCGACUAAGCGUACACGGUGGAUGCCCUGGCAGUCAGAGGCGAUGAAGGACGUGCUAAUCUGCGAUAAGCGUCGGUAAGGUGAUAUGAACCGUUAUAACCGGCGAUUUCCGAAUGGGGAAACCCAGUGUGAUUCGACACACUAUCAUUAACUGAAUCCAUAGGUUAAUGAGGCGAACCGGGGGAACUGAAACAUCUAAGUACCCCGAGGAAAAGAAAUCAACCGAGAUUCCCCCAGUAGCGGCGAGCGAACGGGGAGCAGCCCAGAGCCUGAAUCAGUGUGUGUGUUAGUGGAAGCGUCUGGAAAGGCGCGCGAUACAGGGUGACAGCCCCGUACACAAAAAUGCACAUGCUGUGAGCUCGAUGAGUAGGGCGGGACACGUGGUAUCCUGUCUGAAUAUGGGGGGACCAUCCUCCAAGGCUAAAUACUCCUGACUGACCGAUAGUGAACCAGUACCGUGAGGGAAAGGCGAAAAGAACCCCGGCGAGGGGAGUGAAAAAGAACCUGAAACCGUGUACGUACAAGCAGUGGGAGCACGCUUAGGCGUGUGACUGCGUACCUUUUGUAUAAUGGGUCAGCGACUUAUAUUCUGUAGCAAGGUUAACCGAAUAGGGGAGCCGAAGGGAAACCGAGUCUUAACUGGGCGUUAAGUUGCAGGGUAUAGACCCGAAACCCGGUGAUCUAGCCAUGGGCAGGUUGAAGGUUGGGUAACACUAACUGGAGGACCGAACCGACUAAUGUUGAAAAAUUAGCGGAUGACUUGUGGCUGGGGGUGAAAGGCCAAUCAAACCGGGAGAUAGCUGGUUCUCCCCGAAAGCUAUUUAGGUAGCGCCUCGUGAAUUCAUCUCCGGGGGUAGAGCACUGUUUCGGCAAGGGGGUCAUCCCGACUUACCAACCCGAUGCAAACUGCGAAUACCGGAGAAUGUUAUCACGGGAGACACACGGCGGGUGCUAACGUCCGUCGUGAAGAGGGAAACAACCCAGACCGCCAGCUAAGGUCCCAAAGUCAUGGUUAAGUGGGAAACGAUGUGGGAAGGCCCAGACAGCCAGGAUGUUGGCUUAGAAGCAGCCAUCAUUUAAAGAAAGCGUAAUAGCUCACUGGUCGAGUCGGCCUGCGCGGAAGAUGUAACGGGGCUAAACCAUGCACCGAAGCUGCGGCAGCGACGCUGAUGCGUUGUUGGGUAGGGGAGCGUUCUGUAAGCCUGCGAAGGUGUGCUGUGAGGCAUGCUGGAGGUAUCAGAAGUGCGAAUGCUGACAUAAGUAACGAUAAAGCGGGUGAAAAGCCCGCUCGCCGGAAGACCAAGGGUUCCUGUCCAACGUUAAUCGGGGCAGGGUGAGUCGACCCCUAAGGCGAGGCCGAAAGGCGUAGUCGAUGGGAAACAGGUUAAUAUUCCUGUACUUGGUGUUACUGCGAAGGGGGGACGGAGAAGGCUAUGUUGGCCGGGCGACGGUUGUCCCGGUUUAAGCGUGUAGGCUGGUUUUCCAGGCAAAUCCGGAAAAUCAAGGCUGAGGCGUGAUGACGAGGCACUACGGUGCUGAAGCAACAAAUGCCCUGCUUCCAGGAAAAGCCUCUAAGCAUCAGGUAACAUCAAAUCGUACCCCAAACCGACACAGGUGGUCAGGUAGAGAAUACCAAGGCGCUUGAGAGAACUCGGGUGAAGGAACUAGGCAAAAUGGUGCCGUAACUUCGGGAGAAGGCACGCUGAUAUGUAGGUGAAGCGACUUGCUCGUGGAGCUGAAAUCAGUCGAAGAUACCAGCUGGCUGCAACUGUUUAUUAAAAACACAGCACUGUGCAAACACGAAAGUGGACGUAUACGGUGUGACGCCUGCCCGGUGCCGGAAGGUUAAUUGAUGGGGUCAGCGCAAGCGAAGCUCUUGAUCGAAGCCCCGGUAAACGGCGGCCGUAACUAUAACGGUCCUAAGGUAGCGAAAUUCCUUGUCGGGUAAGUUCCGACCUGCACGAAUGGCGUAAUGAUGGCCAGGCUGUCUCCACCCGAGACUCAGUGAAAUUGAACUCGCUGUGAAGAUGCAGUGUACCCGCGGCAAGACGGAAAGACCCCGUGAACCUUUACUAUAGCUUGACACUGAACAUUGAGCCUUGAUGUGUAGGAUAGGUGGGAGGCUUUGAAGUGUGGACGCCAGUCUGCAUGGAGCCGACCUUGAAAUACCACCCUUUAAUGUUUGAUGUUCUAACGUUGACCCGUAAUCCGGGUUGCGGACAGUGUCUGGUGGGUAGUUUGACUGGGGCGGUCUCCUCCUAAAGAGUAACGGAGGAGCACGAAGGUUGGCUAAUCCUGGUCGGACAUCAGGAGGUUAGUGCAAUGGCAUAAGCCAGCUUGACUGCGAGCGUGACGGCGCGAGCAGGUGCGAAAGCAGGUCAUAGUGAUCCGGUGGUUCUGAAUGGAAGGGCCAUCGCUCAACGGAUAAAAGGUACUCCGGGGAUAACAGGCUGAUACCGCCCAAGAGUUCAUAUCGACGGCGGUGUUUGGCACCUCGAUGUCGGCUCAUCACAUCCUGGGGCUGAAGUAGGUCCCAAGGGUAUGGCUGUUCGCCAUUUAAAGUGGUACGCGAGCUGGGUUUAGAACGUCGUGAGACAGUUCGGUCCCUAUCUGCCGUGGGCGCUGGAGAAUUGAGGGGGGCUGCUCCUAGUACGAGAGGACCGGAGUGGACGCAUCACUGGUGUUCGGGUUGUCAUGCCAAUGGCACUGCCCGGUAGCUAAAUGCGGAAGAGAUAAGUGCUGAAAGCAUCUAAGCACGAAACUUGCCCCGAGAUGAGUUCUCCCUGACUCCUUGAGAGUCCUGAAGGAACGUUGAAGACGACGACGUUGAUAGGCCGGGUGUGUAAGCGCAGCGAUGCGUUGAGCUAACCGGUACUAAUGAACCGUGAGGCUUAACCUUACAACGCCGAAGGUGUUUUG
RNAcentral lists this ribosomal RNA (2924 nucleotides) under Escherichia coli ISC7. RNAcentral's name for it is "LSU rRNA". It matches the Rfam family "Bacterial large subunit ribosomal RNA". Lineage: Bacteria; Pseudomonadati; Pseudomonadota; Gammaproteobacteria; Enterobacterales; Enterobacteriaceae. The record is from RNAcentral.